RNAcentral lists this ribosomal RNA (558 nucleotides) under Boana raniceps (Chaco treefrog). RNAcentral's name for it is "Hypsiboas raniceps (Chaco treefrog) partial 16S ribosomal RNA". It matches the Rfam family "Bacterial large subunit ribosomal RNA", at positions 1845 to 2603 of the family's 2925-position model. Lineage: Eukaryota; Metazoa; Chordata; Amphibia; Anura; Hylidae. The record is from RNAcentral.
AUAAGAGGUCCAGCCUGCCCAGUGACCUAGUUCAACGGCCGCGGUAUCCUAACCGUGCGAAGGUAGCGUAAUCACUUGUUCUUUAAAUGAGGACUAGUAUGAAUGGCACCACGAGGGUUAAACUGUCUCCUUUUUUUAAUCAGUGAAACUAAUCUCCCCGUGAAGAAGCGGGGAUUCUUUUAUAAGACGAGAAGACCCUAUGGAGCUUUAAACAAGUUAACACCUGCUACUAAUCUUCACUUUCCUGAACCACCACAUUAAGUAUAGCACCUCUGAUUAACAGUUUUCGAUUGGGGUGAUCAUGGAGCAAAAAUCAACCUCCACGACGAAAAGGAACACCUCCUUGAGCCAAAAGCUACAACUUUAAGCACUAAAAAACUAACGCACUUUGACCCAAUUCUUUGAGCAACGAACCAAGUUACCCUAGGGAUAACAGCGCAAUCCACUUUAAGAGCUCCUAUCGACAAGUGGGUUUACGACCUCGAUGUUGGAUCAGGGUAUCCCAGUGGUGCAGCCGCUACUAAAGGUUCGUUUGUUCAACGAUUAAACCCUACGUGA